RNAcentral lists this ribosomal RNA (551 nucleotides) under uncultured Glomeromycotina. RNAcentral's name for it is "SSU rRNA". It matches the Rfam family "Eukaryotic small subunit ribosomal RNA", at positions 548 to 1098 of the family's 1831-position model. The record is from RNAcentral. Lineage: Eukaryota; Fungi; Glomeromycota.
UUGGAGGGCAAGUCUGGUGCCAGCAGCCGCGAUAAUUCCAGCUCCAAUAGCGUAUAUUAAAGUUGUUGCAGUUAAAAAGCUCGUAGUUGAACCUCGGGGUCUACCCAUUGGUCAGGCUUAAUUGUCUGCACUGGUGAGAUGGAUCUCUACCUUCUGAGGAACUUUCAUGCCAUUUAUUUGGUGUGAUGGGAAAUCAGGACUGUUACUUUGAAAAAAUUAGAGUGUUUAAAGCAGACUAUCGUCUGAAUACAUUAGCAUGGAAUAAUGAAAUAGGACGGACUGAUUCUAUUUCGUUGGUUUCUAGGAUCACCGUAAUGAUUAAUAGGGAUAGUUGGGGGCAUUAGUAUUCAAUUGUCAGAGGUGAAAUUCUUGGAUUUAUUGAAGACUAACUACUGCGAAAGCAUUUGCCAAGGAUGUUUUCAUUAAUCAAGAACGAAAGUUAGGGGAUCGAAGACGAUCAGAUACCGUCGUAGUCUUAACCAUAAACUAUGCCGACUAGGGAUCGGACGAAGUUAAUUUUAUAAUGACGCGUUCGGCGCCUUACGGGAAAC